CCCUUAGAUGUUCUGGGCCGCACGCGCGCUACACUGACGAUGGCAACGAGUUUUUCCUUCGCCGAAAGGUGUGGGUAAUCUUUUGAAACAUCGUCGUGCUGGGGAUAGAUCAUUGCAAUUUUUGAUCUUGAACGAGGAAUUCCUAGUAAGCGCGAGUCAUCAGCUCGCGUUGAUUACGUCCCUGCCCUUUGUACACACCGCCCGUCGCUACUACCGAUUGGAUGGUUUAGUGAGGACUCCUGAUUGGCGCCGCCGCCCCGGCAACGGAGCAGCGGACUGCCGAAAAGUUGUUCAAACUUGAUCAUUUAGAGGAAGUAAAAGUCGUAACA
This 329-nucleotide ribosomal RNA is filed under the name uncultured eukaryote. RNAcentral describes it as "partial 18S ribosomal RNA". It matches the Rfam family "Eukaryotic small subunit ribosomal RNA", at positions 1470 to 1796 of the family's 1831-position model. The record is from RNAcentral.